RNAcentral lists this ribosomal RNA (839 nucleotides) under Dothiorella sp. JZG-2016c. RNAcentral describes it as "eukaryotic LSU rRNA". It matches the Rfam family "Eukaryotic large subunit ribosomal RNA", at positions 87 to 944 of the family's 3401-position model. Lineage: Eukaryota; Fungi; Ascomycota; Dothideomycetes; Botryosphaeriales; Botryosphaeriaceae. The record is from RNAcentral.
CGGCGAGUGAAGCGGCAAUAGCUCAAAUUUGAAAGCUGGCCCCUUCGGGGUCCGCGUUGUAAUUUGUAGAGGAUGAUUCGGCGAGGGCUCCCGUCUAAGUCCCCUGGAACGGGGCGUCAUAGAGGGUGAGAAUCCCGUAUGUGAUGGGUUGCCUUAGCCAUGUGAAUCUCCUUCGACGAGUCGAGUUGUUUGGGAAUGCAGCUCUAAAUGGGAGGUAAAUUUCUUCUAAAGCUAAAUACCGGCCAGAGACCGAUAGCGCACAAGUAGAGUGAUCGAAAGAUGAAAAGCACUUUGGAAAGAGAGUUAAAAAGUACGUGAAAUUGUUGAAAGGGAAGCGCUUGCAGCCAGACUUGUCCGCAGUUGCUCAGCCGGUCUCCUGACCGGCGUACUCUUCUGCGGCCAGGCCAGCAUCAGUUCGGGCGGUCGGAUAAAGACCUCGGGAAUGUAGCUCCUCUCGGGGAGUGUUAUAGCCCGGGGUGGAAUGCGGCCAGCCUGGACUGAGGAUCUCGCUUCGGCUAGGAUGCUGGCGUAAUGGCUGUAAGCGGCCCGUCUUGAAACACGGACCAAGGAGUCUAACAUCUAUGCGAGUGUUUGGGUGUCAAACCCAUACGCGUAAUGAAAGUGAACGGAGGUGGGAACCCUCACGGGUGCACCAUCGACCGAUCCUGAUGUCUUCGGAUGGAUUUGAGUAAGAGCAUAGCUGUUGGGACCCGAAAGAUGGUGAACUAUGCCUGAAUAGGGUGAAGCCAGAGGAAACUCUGGUGGAGGCUCGCAGCGGUUCUGACGUGCAAAUCGAUCGUCAAAUUUGGGUAUAGGGGCGAAAGACUAAUCGAACCAUC